GAUGAAGAACGUAGCGAAAUGCGAUAAGUAAUGUGAAUUGCAGAAUUCAGUGAAUCAUCGAAUCUUUGAACGCACAUUGCGCCCGCCAGUAUUCUGGCGGGCAUGCCUGUCCGAGCGUCAUUUCAACCCUCAAGCCCCCGGGCUUGGUGUUGGAGAUCGGCGAGCCCCCCGGGGCGCGCCGUCUCCCAAAUAUAGUGGCGGUCCCGCUGUAGCUUCCUCUGCGUAGUAGCACACCUCGCACUGGGAAACAGCGUGGCCACGCCGUAAAACCCCCCACUUCUGAAAGGUUGACCUCGGAUCAGGUAGGAAUACCCGCUGAACUUAAGCAUAUCAAUAAGCGGAGA
RNAcentral lists this unclassified non-coding RNA (344 nucleotides) under soil metagenome. RNAcentral's name for it is "partial contains 5.8S ribosomal RNA, internal transcribed spacer 2, and large subunit ribosomal RNA". The stretch from base 1 to 120 matches the Rfam family "5.8S ribosomal RNA", at positions 35 to 154 of the family's 154-position model. The record is from RNAcentral.